UUCUAAUUAAUUAAAAGAUGUGAACUCUCCUUCAAACAUGGCCCUCUCUAGAAAUCCCUCCCCCCUCUCUCUAAAAAUAAUGCCCCCCUCUACUAACAUUUCAUGAACGAGCUCUGGAUCUUUCGAAUCAACCCUUGAAUCUCAUUUAUCACGUGUGUGUUCAAAUCCCUAUUCUAUUUUUUUCUUUUAGGAACGAAAAAUCUGAUAUUGUUGUUGUUCAAAUCUAUAUCGAUUUUGUGGUGGAAGAAUUGAGCAACUGAUUUCUCUCAUAUAGCUUCUAGUGACCCUAAUUCUUUCUUUUUUGUUUAUACCCAUACUAGUUUAUAUAUAAAUUUAUGUGUGGAAAUUUUUAUAAGGGUUCUUUAAGGCAAAAUUGUCAACAUGCAGUCUUUUCUUUUUGUUUAUACCCAUACUAGUUUAUAUAUAAAUUUAUGUUUGGAUUUUUUAUAAGGGUUCUUUAAGGCAAAAUUGUCAACAUGCAGUUAGAAAUUUUUGUUAUUUCAGUAAUCUUACAUUUGUAUUCUUAGAUUUCAUAUCGAUUUUCUCUGAACCAUUUGAUAAUCUACAUUAGCUUUACUGAAUUUUUGUUGAUUCAAGCCUUAUUCUUAGCACACUCUUCUUCUCGAACCUUAUUCUUAGCAUACAGAAAAAAACAGUCGCACAGGAAGAAUGAUUUUAGGCGUAUUUGGUGUUGUUGUUGCUGAUUUUCACUCUUAAUAGAACUCGACUAUCUUAGUUUGGGUAAGUUAAAAGCUUCUUGUUUAAAGACCUAUUGUAUGUUGGUAUUCCAUACUCGUAAGGGCUGUUUUAAUCACUGCCAUAAUUUUCCUUUUGCAGUUGUAUCCAAUGUGUUUCUACUGUGGUGUAUUCAUUUUUGUUAUGUAGAUUUCUGAAAUUCAUAGUGACCUCGGAUUUGUAUGAGAAUAAAGACCAUUUACAAACAGAUAGAGUUAAAUUAUUUGAUAUUCUUUGCUUUUUACUGUCAUUAAUUAUCAAUUAAGGUUAAUCACCAGAUGUUAAAUCUGUUUAUCAAUAAGGUGUUUGUAGAUGUCGCAAUAUUAAUUAUUUGGGUACUCAUCCAUUGUUUUGUCGCUUGGUGAUGCCACUGUUUUGACCCAACUGUUGGUAAUUGUAUGCCCUUCGCAGUCCUUAGCUAAACUGUGUUUGUUAUUCCUAUCUUUGUAAAUUCUGAUCAUACUAAUGAUAGCUUUUAUAUGCCAGAAUCUUGUUGAUGAAGUCAAAGGAUCGAGAAUGAUCCGUUACGUUGACGGUGACCCAAAGAAUCAUAUAUUCUACAACUGUUAUUAGCAGAGACAUGGUAGGAAUAAGAUAAUUACUACGUAUUAUAAUCUGGGACAUCAAAUAUUCUUGGAGCUGAGUCAUGUUUUUUGGUGUCUCCAGAGAGGAAUAUGAGAGAAUGUUGAGUGAAUUUAUAGAAAUGCAUAUAAUAUGAGGAUAUGUGUCAUCUCAUGUUACAGAACAUAUUCUAUUGUUGCUCAAUUAUUGGCUUCAUAUCAGAAUCACAAAGAAAUGCUCGUCAUAAGAUGCUAAAAAUGAGUUUGACUUUCAUCAGAUACAAGUACAGGUACAUAUGUUGACUAUUUCAUGGAAAAAUAAUACAAAAAGAAAUGAUCACCCCCUGUAUCCACUAAGUCCAAAACUUCAGAUCAUUUCACUGAUUUUUGCCAGGGUAAAUGACCAGUGUUUGGGUCUGUGAACAUCUCUGCUACUCGAUCUCUUAGGCCAGUGUCAUUAACUUCUCUUAUUUUGCUAAGAUUUAGUUGCUUCUGAAGCCAAGUGCAGAAGUAUACAAGAGGAUCCAUCUAAAAGUGGACAAGAGGAUGCAUGAACUUUUCUAGUUUGAUGACCAGAAUGCUACAACAGGUACUUGCUCCGCUACUUGUUAACAAUUUUUCUUCCUUCUCGGCAUCUCUUCUUCCUUCAUUCGGGUACAAUUCUUUUGUCAGCUUACUAUCUUUUUCUUCAAAUAAGCGGCGAAGGCACUGUACAUAUCAUGAAAUCAUACAAUGCACCAUAUUAAAUAAUUGUCAAUUUAUCUAUUGCCUGAAUGAUUAUCUUUUUAUGUGCAAAAAUACUCACACCUGAAUAAACCGAGACCAAAAAGGGAUAAUUGCGACGACUAUGUAUAAAAUUUGGUAAACACUGCUAUCUUGAUAUUUAUUUGAUCUUGUUCUGAACUUGGCCCACACAUAGGAAAUAUUGUGCAAGAUAGGUACAUUUUAGCCUUAUCCCUGUAGAAAAACUGCUUGAAUAGAUUUUGCAAUUAAUCUUCUUCUCGUAAGUAGUAACAGAUCUAUUGACCCAAAAGAAAAGUAAAAAUAUAUCAUGAUUUUGAAAUUGCUUGUUACCUCUGCUUUUUGAUAGUUGAAAGGAUGGGCAGGAAGUCAGAUUGUCUAAAUUAAUGUAUGGCUCAUCCAACAGCAAAUUAUUGGAAUAUAUUGUGUGUUUGUGCGCAACUCGCUCAUGUUUCAGUUGCCCCGAUCUCUAUAUUUGUAGUGGUAGCAGUUUUUAAUUUACUCGCUAAUAUUGACAACAAAACUAAGAAAGAUCCACUCAUUUUAGUUCUUAUAUGCAUUGUGGCUUGCGAGGCUGUUUUUGCGAGCUAUGUGGAUCGUACCGUUCAUUUCAUGGAACUUCCUGGUGAAAUACGUAACAGGCAAGUUCUUUACUUAUGAUAUUGUCAAAAGUUUCAAGGAAAGGAAGUCUUUAAAUUAAGCUUUUAGAUGAUCUAGAACCACAUUAUUCUACAUGGCACUAAAGAAGAUAUUAGAAGAAAAAAAUAAACACUUCCAUGCGCUUGUGCUUAGUGAGAAAUCCGGCCACCAUCAAAGGGGCCUACAGUUUAGGAAGAGACGUUUGUGGCUUCACAACAUGUGCAAAGUGAAGCAUUUUUCCAACCAGUUGAACAAAUUGUUGUGAAGUCUGGGAGGAAAAUAAAAGAGAGGCACCUUUCAGUCGAGGAAAAUGUUUCAUUGUCUUCAUUGGUUAUAGCUGUCACAACUUUCAUCGUCUGUGAAGACGCUUUUAAGCUUGCACCAUAUUAGACUUGCUAUCUUUUUAUGUAUUUUUUCAUUUGCAAGUACUUGCAGAAAAGGAAAUAUCUGUUAAUUUGCAAAUGAUGUUUGAGUAACCAAAUUCUCUUUUUUCAGUGAACUGUAAUCUGUCAAAUUCUUACACAUGUUGCAGUUGAACAAUCUGGAGCUUGAUGUCAAUCUUGCUAAAAGAGGAAACCUUCCAUGUGCUGAGAAUUUGGUAAGUGGAUAUAUUAUUCUCGAUAUAUCAUUGUUCGGAAAUGGUUUUGCGAUGGGAGGGCAUUCUGCUCUUUUCUUUAGGUGUACGGGAUCUCUUGCCUGUGGAACUCUCUAACACUGUUAACCUUGUUCUGUAUGUCGCUGUCUUUUUUAUUUUUAAUUCCAGAUGCUUAUGUCUGUGAUGAUCCAGCUGAUGAGAUUUCAUUUCCUCAAGGGAUGGGUACUCAAAUUUGCAUCUAUUAAUAGCCACAUAAAGUUCUCUUCUUUUGGUGUUCUUGCUACCUUCUCUGCUUUCGUUUUCUUUUGUUUAUCACGCUAGCUUUAUUUUGUCUGUUGGACGGAUGUAAUAUAUAUAAGGAACAUAAUGAGAUUCGUUAUAUCCAAAAAUAUGUAUAGACGAAUAAAGUACAAGCUACCUUUCUGGAAAAAGCAUGUUUUUUUGGAAAAUAUUUUGCAAUAUUUUUCAAAGAACAAAUGCCAGCAUAUAAGGAACUAGAGGAAAGAUUUCUCAUUUGUUAUUCUUUAGGUAUGUAUUGUUCCUCCUUCCACUUAUCAGCUGUAAGCAUUGCAUUUGCGUGAUCCACUUUUUGCAGCCAAGUCUGAUGAAUAAUAUAGGGAUUUAAUAGCUUUCAUGGUUAUAACUACCAUAAGUUUAACCUGUUAAAUUUCUUAUAUUGUAGUUUCACCUAUGGAGAAACCGAGAAAUCCCCUCAAGGGAGUUACCGAUGAUUUUAAAGGAAGGAUAACAUGCUACAAACGCGAUUGGCUCGACUCAUGUGGUACAGGCGUCAGGUAUUUACAAUAUUUCCGUCUUAUAUGUUUGAGCUGAACCUAUGGA
RNAcentral lists this long non-coding RNA (4110 nucleotides) under Nicotiana benthamiana. Its description in RNAcentral is "long non-coding RNA (NBEN_LNC026545)". The record is from RNAcentral. Lineage: Eukaryota; Viridiplantae; Streptophyta; Magnoliopsida; Solanales; Solanaceae.